AAGACUAUAGACCUGCGGAGUACCUGCGGAAGGAUCAUUAAAAAAGGGUCAUUCGACCCAUUUUUUUUAAAAAUUCACUACCAGUUUUACUGGAAGUGGGUUUUUUUCAAACACCAAAUUUUAAACUAUUCGUCUUUUGACGAAACCCAAAAUUAAUAAAUAAAACUUUCAACAACGGAUCUCU
This 184-nucleotide unclassified non-coding RNA is filed under the name soil metagenome. Its description in RNAcentral is "partial contains 5.8S ribosomal RNA, internal transcribed spacer 2, and large subunit ribosomal RNA". The record is from RNAcentral.